This 466-nucleotide ribosomal RNA is filed under the name Vreelandella stevensii. Its description in RNAcentral is "partial 16S ribosomal RNA". It matches the Rfam family "Bacterial small subunit ribosomal RNA", at positions 337 to 795 of the family's 1533-position model. The record is from RNAcentral. Lineage: Bacteria; Pseudomonadati; Pseudomonadota; Gammaproteobacteria; Oceanospirillales; Halomonadaceae.
CCCUACGGGGAGCUGCAGUGGGGAAUAUUGGACAAUGGGCGAAAGCCUGAUCCAGCCAUGCCGCGUGUGUGAAGAAGGCCUUCGGGUUGUAAAGCACUUUCAGUGGGGAAGAAAGCCUUGGGGCUAAUACCCUCGAGGAAGGACAUCACCCACAGAAGAAGCACCGGCUAACUCCGUGCCAGCAGCCGCGGUAAUACGGAGGGUGCGAGCGUUAAUCGGAAUUACUGGGCGUAAAGCGCGCGUAGGCGGUCUGAUAAGCCGGUUGUGAAAGCCCCGGGCUCAACCUGGGAACGGCAUCCGGAACUGUCAGGCUAGAGUGCAGGAGAGGAAGGUAGAAUUCCCGGUGUAGCGGUGAAAUGCGUAGAGAUCGGGAGGAAUACCAGUGGCGAAGGCGGCCUUCUGGACUGACACUGACGCUGAGGUGCGAAAGCGUGGGUAGCAAACAGGAUUAGAUACCCGAGUAGUC